GUGCUUGCAUGGGCAGCACAUAUACCAAAAUUGGGACCCUAUAGAGAAGAUUAGCAUGGCUCCUGCCCAAGGGUGGUACCCGAAUUUGUGACACAUCCCAUAUUUUG
RNAcentral lists this small nuclear RNA (107 nucleotides) under Prolemur simus (greater bamboo lemur). Lineage: Eukaryota; Metazoa; Chordata; Mammalia; Primates; Lemuridae. The record is from RNAcentral.